Long non-coding RNA from Biomphalaria glabrata, 2328 nucleotides. RefSeq lists it as uncharacterized. The record is from RefSeq and is a predicted model, not a curated record. The transcript is spliced from 3 exons. NCBI's taxonomy places the organism in Eukaryota, Metazoa, Mollusca, Gastropoda, Planorbidae.
UUUUAUCAACAUGAAUUCUUAUGUUUAAUUGUCUACAAACAUUUAUCUCUAGUAACAGGAUUAGGUGUAUGGGAGAGAGAGAGACAGACAGACAGACAGACAGUGACAGAGAAAUUGAGCCAAAUUCUGCGAAUCAAGAUCGUAGAUUAUAAGGUUAAGUAUAUUUACCAAGAAAGAAGAACUCUUCAUGAGGUGAAGUUUUCUGAUAAGGUAGAAAAGAGUUUUUUUUUCUGCUCCAGUAACAGCCGAGUCAACUCAAGAACAAUCGUUAUAGAAGGCCUGAACACCGACCUUCAACGUCACCACAUGUGGGCUGCUUAGACCGAUAGCUCGGUGCCACGUGACAGUGCCAAUAUUUUCAGGCUGAUGUGAUUAAAUACCCCAGUGACCUAUACCCUAAUGUAAACAAAGUAGAUAUGUAUAUCUAUUGACCAACAGUGUUCCAGAGCGUUAAAGGACUCAUUAAGCAUACGAUGUUAAUGGUAGUCCAAAAGGGAACGUGUUUGGAUCGUGUUGGAAUUGACCAUUAAAGUACUUGGACUACUCACGGGUCAGCGAGCGUACAUAUUCUUUAAAAGUGAGAAAUAUAAACAAAGGGAGAGACAAAGAAACAGAAAGACAGAAACAAAGAGAGAACCAGAGAGUCAGUUACAGAGAAACAGAGGGAUAGAUCGUUGAUGGAGCGGGCCAAAAACAUAUUCUUGAUGUAGGUACUCUAAGAAUUCAUUGACUCCGAAAAAAUUCAGGAGAAAAUAGUCAUGACUAACUCUGCAGAUACAGAACAUUAUCUUAUAAUUAAUUUCAAUAGCGCAGUACAAUUCCUAUUGAUAACUAUGGAGCAGGCCUUUUUCUUGCUCAUCUUUUGAUUCCACUCUAGAUGCUAUUUAUAGAUUUUCGAGAUAAACAGUGUGAAACUCCUUUUAUCAUACAGCAAGCCUUGCAACAUUGAAUCAUACAUUACGAUGAUUACUUGACAAACUCACUGUCAGAAAGUGUUUUAUCACUUUUACCUAUGAGCCAUAUGACUUGCAAGUGUAGCAGGGCAGGCCAAGCAUUAGAAACUAAAUUAUGCAGGCCUAAUAAUUUUUUUUGUUGAGAUUUUAAAAAGAUUUUUAUUACAGACUCGAUCUGUCUGUGUGCUACACAUUUUGAACACGUUAUUUCUCCCACUUCCCAUUCUCGGAUCAAGUUGGAACUUUGCACAAAAUAUUCAUUGUUCCUAACAAAACAUGAAUCAAUCAAAUGGUAAAUUAAAUAGUUGUUUAUAAUUAAUUUUGUUUGAUAUUGAAAAAAGGGAAAUACAUCUUACAGUACUGAGAGAUAUGGUUUUAAAUGUGCAUUUUCAUAUUUUCUGUAUUUUUUUCUUUCGUCGGCAGGUAUAGAAGCAUAAAUAAUGCCAUCUUUUUAGUUAGAACUUAAAUAUCGGUUUCUACAUUCUAGUCUUUAUGAACGACCAUGAUUUUAGGGCAACUGAGACGCAGUUGUUUGUCGCUACAGUACUUCAAAGUUUCACCUCCUAGCAAAAAACGGAUAGAUAGAUAGAUAGAUAGGACUAUAUCUUGUUUUAUAAUGAUGUUUGUGUAAUAAUAAAUUACUAUAAAAAGUCACUUUUACUAUAGGUAGAAACACUCAUAUUAUAUUUUUUAAAAUUUUGUAACAUUUCACAUAUCACAACAGUUCAGUGCCAAAUAUAAAAGGUGAUUCUUUUCCUAGCAUUUAAAAUUGUGUUUUCCUUCGAUUGCAAAAUUAAUUUAAAAAAUGGGCCAGUAUGGGAUUAGGAAUGCCCCGGUUAUACUAGCCAACUUAGCUAAGCGGUCAUAUAACACACAGUGAAACAUAAAUAUGUAGGUGGAGAUCUAAAUGAAUUAAAAAUAAAGCGGCUGAUAUAUUUUUUUUUAUUACUUCUUCUCACUUAACGUAAAAAUUUAAUUUUAAUUAAUUCAAUUAUUAAGGUAGUGAUCUAUCUGAAAUUUUAGUCAAAUGUCUUGUCACACCACUCGAAUUUAUGUGUGAAAUUUCAGCUCAAUAGGACAAUGAAAAGUCACAAUAAACGAUUGAAUUAGAAGUUUUUAGCAGCUCCCGAAAGGGAAUAGCCGCUAUUAGUUUUCAGUGGUCUUCCCGUUUAGAUCUCAUAAACUGUAAAGAAAAAAAAAUGAUAAUCGGACAUCAGGAUAUUUUAGACCUUUUAAAAUUCUGAUGCAAUGGCUACUUUUAAUUGAAAAUGAUUUUUUGAAAUGUUAUUAUUGAAACGAUGAAAACAAGCUUGAAUAUUCCUGUUCCAUGGUUUAAUUAAACGGAACCACCUCUGAGUUUGUAUAAUAACACAAA